This is a small nucleolar RNA of Zalophus californianus (California sea lion), 95 nucleotides long. Its record names the gene SNORD116. It matches the Rfam family "Small nucleolar RNA SNORD116". From Rfam's summary of the family: HBII-85 is a member of the C/D class of snoRNAs, which contain the C (UGAUGA) and D (CUGA) box motifs. HBII-85 is encoded in a tandemly repeated array with another C/D snoRNA, HBII-52, in the Prader-Willi syndrome (PWS) region of chromosome 15. Unlike most other snoRNAs, HBII-85 is expressed prevalently in the brain (but is absent in PWS patients) and lacks any significant complementarity with ribosomal RNA. The record is from Ensembl. Lineage: Eukaryota; Metazoa; Chordata; Mammalia; Carnivora; Otariidae.
AGACUGAUGAUGACUCCCUCAUAUGCAUUCCUUGGAAAACCUGAACAAAUCAGUGAGAACUUCCUAUGAUUAAGAAAAAACAGUAACAAAAAACU